Molecule: long non-coding RNA, 770 nt
Filed under: Homo sapiens (human)
Lineage: Eukaryota; Metazoa; Chordata; Mammalia; Primates; Hominidae
Description: HSALNT0102137
Source: RNAcentral
GAGCUGAGAUCGCACCACUGCACUCCAGCCUGGGUGACAGAGUGAGAUCCUGUCUUGAAGUAAAAGUAAAUAAAUAAACAAAUAUAAAGGAGAAGAUUUUGAGGCUGUAAACUUUCCCUUCACUAGUUUUAGCACUUUAAAAAUGCAUCACUGAGUCGGCAGUGUGCAGUUUUGCUGUUUCCUUUUAUUUUUGGAGUGAACUCUGCUCUUCAUUCAAAAUUGUCAUAGUAAAUUUGGGCCCAUGAACUCCUAAAUAUCUCUGCUUUUCUACCUCUUGGCUCCAAUCAGCUUAAAGUCCUUGCAAAGAAAGAAAUUGUGCCCUGUCUCUCAGCGUCGACCAUAGCAGAGAGCCUGGGACAUGAAUGGGUGUCAUUAUUUAUCUGCUGAACAAAUAGGCGGAGAGGAGUGAAUCCCUCGUUCUGAUGUUAUAUUUCUUCAGUUGAUCAGUGGAAGAUGCUCUCACUCUCCUGCCCACCAGUUUCACUCAAAACCAGUCUUUGCCAUUGCUAAAUAACAAGUAUCUUCAUUGUAAUUGUACAGGGCCAGAUAGAAAGAUUGGCUCUGGACCUUGUGCCCCAAGGACCAAUAAAGUUGCAGUCAUUCAGAAAUAGUUCCAGAGCCAAAGCUUCCCUAUUUAAAGUGCCUACAUCCAAUUCUUUAGAGUUAAGCUUGGUACCAUUAGUUGAGUCUUCCUGUCACCUCUCAAGGGACAGUGGCAAGCUCUUAUGUAGCAUUUGUCCUAAUUUUCUUGCUGGUAUCAAUGUCCCCAG